GGCAGCCAUCUAGAGCCACUUUGAUGUGGCCAGAUCACUUGGAAGUGACCAACAGCGCCUCAACCGAUCAGAGGAUGGAAAUGCUGGUCACCUAGUGGGAUGGCCCCCCACAGAUCCAUGAGGGACUCUAGUUUUGAAAGCCCGGGUGCCUUAUCUGCCAUGUGUCCCUUGGGAGCCGUGCCUCCCAGGUGCACCAGAGCAUGGGCCAGGCUGGACCAUGGAUCAAGCAGUCUCCAGAUCCACGAUGGCUCAUUUCCAUCCAGGCUCCGUGCCCAGGAGAGGUGACAGGUUUUAACUGUGGUCCUGACCCCAGGACCAGGCCGGCCCCUGGCCAACCAAACACCACGCCUCCUACUGUGCAGGGGUGGGGCAGCAGGUGGCAGCCCAGUGUGGUGCUAGGAGUGACGUGGCAAUAGCAUCUGGACCAGCAGAGCCGUGCUGGGAUUUCUACAGUCCCUGAGCCACCUCAGCUCCUCCUUCUCACAGGCUUGUGUCCGGGAGGCCCCAUCACUGGCCGACCCAGGGAGGCCCAGCGCACAGGCUCCUGAGCAGCCACUGGCUCCUGGGCACAGCAGGAGCCACAGGGUAAGCAGAGGCCUGGGGGCAGCAGUUCUGCGGUCUGUCCAGAGGUCAGCAGCACAGCUCUGAGCCUCGGCACCCAUCCACUCCCCAGUCUUAGGAAGCUGCACUCUCGGGGCAGCAUGUCCAGCCAGUGUCCAGUUGGGUGCUGCCGGGCUGAGGAUGGCCUCCUCUUGAUGGGGUUUUUCUGGCUGCCAACCCCUGCUCACCCAGAUGGCUCAGGCCCACCUGCCACCCCUCCUCCUGCCCCGGGGACGUGGGGCCUGGCAGACGUCAUGGAGGGCACACCAUCCAGGUGCAGAUGGCCCCUGGGCCAGGACCAGCUGGCCCCUGGGCCACACUGGGAAGGGAAGCUCCUGCCCAGGGCUGCGAGAAGCACCAAUGUUGCUGCUCAGCCUCCUCCAAGGUGUGUUAAAAAUGGGACCAGCAGAGGCACCUCGUCCUCCAUGCGCCAGUGACACUGACAAUGAGACUAAAAAUAACAGGCGCUUCUCCUGCAGGCGAGAGUGCGAGCUCACGCUGCCUCCCGCACAGCGGCUCCCUCCCACACCACCGAGGGGCACAGAGCCAGGCAGCUGGAGCCACAGAGCAGAGCAGGGCCCUGGGCCCCUGGACCCCCACAGAUGGCCGCAAAUCCCACCUGACCAGCUGGCGUCACUGCCCAUGCACACUUGGACCCCACCAGCCAAUGGUUUUUGGAGUGGACUGGGAAAGGGCAGUGAAGGGCCACUUGGGCCUGUCUUUCCUGCUUCAGAACCGCUCUGGACUUUCUCCUGGUGCCAUUGGAUGUCCCUGUCCAGUGAGGAGGCUGGCAUGUUGGGGCAGUGGGCAUCACCUGAGCAGCACCAACCUCUCUCUCCCCUGGCUCAUGGCAGAGGGGUCUCCAACCUAGAGCUAGGGCCACAGGCUCCAGAAGCUCCAAAGUCCCUCCUCCACAGGUCAGGAGGCCGGGAGCAGGGGAGGUAGUCCAGUGGGUGGUGUAGGCCAGGUGAGGCCCCCGCCCUUGCUCCCCACCUGUUCGCCAUGUCCCCUGCCCUGUCGGGACAUGCCCCAGCAGUGCCACCUGGGAGCUCAGGGCUUGCACAGCCUAGACUGGGGCCCCUCACAAGUUCCUCCCAGUGGAGGGGCUGAGAGCCUCCUGCACCCCUGCUCCUACCCACUCCACAUUCCCUGGCCACAGCUCCAGCACAUGGACCUGGACUUGUGGGACUUGUGAGGCGACAGGAGGCACAGGAAUCUCAAGCCCAGAGAGCACCCAGGGCACCAGGCUCCUCCUGUCUCCUCCCAUCUGCCAACAUGUCCUCCCUGCCAAGUGGGGCAGGGCCCGGGAGGAGGUCGCAGAGCCACCUCUAGAUGGGGUCUCUCCACUGGGGCCUGGCUUGGAGACAGUGGAGUCAGGGUCCCCUCCAACCAGAUGCUCUGGGGCAAGAGCCACGGCCUCCAUGCAGGCAGCAGCUCUGUCCCUGCCACGCCUGCAGGGCUCCAUGGCAUCCACAUUGCCCAGUCUCUGCCCAGGCCCUCUGGACAGGACCUGGUACCCAGAAUGGGGGAGGCACAGGAACCUCAAGCCCAGAGAGCACCAAGGGCUUGAGCCGGUGUUGAGGGAUGACUCUUGCUGAGGGUCACCAAGGACCCCACCCACCCUUCCUCUGGCCCUCAGGAGACCAGCCUGCCUCCAGUUCCCUGGCCAUCUACUCCCAGGCCAAGGAGAGAAUGAGGCCCUUGUGUGGGGACAGAAGCCCCUGCAGGCCAGGGUGUGCAGACAGGGCCCCGUCCAGUCGUGCUCCACUGUCCCAGGGUGGUGGCAGCAGCUUCUUGGCUCCCUUCCCCUCCCAGGAGGCGGGCAGCUCUGCCAGCUGUCUCCAGAAAGUGUUUGUGAUCCG
RNAcentral lists this long non-coding RNA (2462 nucleotides) under Marmota monax (woodchuck). The record is from RNAcentral. Lineage: Eukaryota; Metazoa; Chordata; Mammalia; Rodentia; Sciuridae.